UGAGGUUUCCCCUCAAGCCUGGCAGGAAAACAAAGAGGGAAAUAUGAGCAUGAUCACUGAAAUAACAAUUGCUUUAAUGCAUUAUCAGGCACAAUGAUUUCCUGGUGGCAAAAGGAUGAUGGAGUGAGGCCGGCAGGGACUGCGGGAAGGCGGCACACGGCAUUCCAAGAGGAACACGGGCAGAGAAGAAAACCUGUUCCCUUGGUCUCCAUGCAGAAGAUUCCCGGAGCCAGCUGUGUCCUCGGGAGCAGCAGAUGAAGGCAAAACUAUGGAAAGAAGAGCAAAACUCCCCAAAAGCCCCGGAGUGCAGAGCUGCCAGCGCUCCUGCAGCAGCCUGCCGCAGUCCGGGGAUUUCCCUUCCUGUCUCCAAGCCAGCUCCUCAAAGAGCCGAUCCCUGCCGAGUGUCUGCUCCCGGGGAAAAGCUGGAUGUUCUCCACUGGAGUGCCUGCUGGCAAGAGGGAUGAACAGCCUGGGAAGGGCAGGGCUGUGGAGAGGGGAGCCUACCGCUCUCUGCCCGCUCCUCGCUGGGACCGGCAGCACAAAGAGGAUGGAGUCAGGGAUCGGAGAUAUCGGAACCUGCCUGGGGGCGGGAUCUGUCCCGGUCCCCGUGGCUCGUUCAGCAUCCUGAAGCCGUGGGAGCUGCCGGGAGUCGGGAUGGGAGCAGGAGAGGUCAUGUUUGCCUCCACUUGCUGUUGGAGAGGUGGACUAGGCUCUCCAUUCCCACCAGAGGACAGCCAGGGAUCCAACUCCAGCACAAAUCCCUGUUCCAGCUGCACCAAGCUCAGUGUCUCCAUGACAAGCAGCAUCUCCAUGGACAGAUCUCCCUUGAACUGGGCAGGUUCAGCCCCCCAGCCCCCUCCCCAUCCUUCUGGCCUCUCUGGGCUGGGAGGCAGCCCUGGCUGGGCCGUGCCCGGGAAGCGGAGCCGGCUGGGAUAACGCGGCUCCGGGCACGGCUGCUGUGGGCUGCGGCCACUGGGGCAGGAUUUUACAUGACCCAACAGCUCUUUGUGGCUGCUUUUAUGGCAAAUAUGCACAAGAAGAUACUGGAGCUGAGGAGAAAAGGGUUUCAGAGCCAGCAUGAGCCUUCAGGUGGUUCCUCAUUCCCGAGCUGGGUUAUUUUCCUACAGAAUUACAUUGCUUUGGUUGGGGAUUUUUUAAUAAAGGAGAA
Molecule: long non-coding RNA, 1168 nt
Filed under: Chloebia gouldiae (Gouldian finch)
Lineage: Eukaryota; Metazoa; Chordata; Aves; Passeriformes; Passeridae
Description: Erythrura gouldiae (Gouldian finch) lncRNA (ENSEGOG00005017208.1)
Source: RNAcentral